RNAcentral lists this ribosomal RNA (1187 nucleotides) under uncultured Cellvibrionales bacterium. RNAcentral describes it as "SSU rRNA". It matches the Rfam family "Eukaryotic small subunit ribosomal RNA", at positions 3 to 1189 of the family's 1831-position model. Lineage: Bacteria; Pseudomonadati; Pseudomonadota; Gammaproteobacteria; Cellvibrionales. The record is from RNAcentral.
CCUGGUUGAUCCUGCCAGUAGUCAUAUGCUUGUCUCAAAGAUUAAGCCAUGCAUGUCUAAGUACAAGCCUCACUAAGGUGAAACCGCGAAUGGCUCAUUAAAUCACACCUAAUGUACUGGACAGUCUCAGUUACUUGGAUAACUGCGGUAAUUCUGGAGCUAAUACAUGCGUACUAGCCGCGACUCACGGAGCGGUGCUUUUAUUAGAUCAAAACCAAACGGCCUCGAGCCGUCCCCCUGGUGAUUCUGAAUAACUUUGGGCUGAUCGCACGGCCUCGAGCCGGCGACGUGUCCUUCCAAGGUGUGCCCUAUCAACUGUCGACUGUGGCAUAGACGCCCACAGUGGUUUUGACGGGUAACGGGGAAUUAGGGUUCGAUUCCGGAGAGGGAGCCUGAGAAACGGCUACCACUUCUACGGAAGGCAGCAGGCACGCAAAUUACCCACUGGCCGCAGGCCGAGGUAGUGACGAAAAAUAACGAUACCGGACUCAUCCGAGGCCCGGUAAUCGGAAUGAGUACACUUUAAAUCCUUUAACGAGGAACAAUUGGAGGGCAAGUCUGGUGCCAGCAGCCGCGGUAAUUCCAGCUCCAAUAGCGUAUAUUAAAGUUGUUGCGGUUAAAAAGCUCGUAGUUGGAUCUCGGCGGGCAGGGGGUGGUUCGCUCUUCAGCGCUACUGCCCCGCUUUGCCCGUGUGAUUGGCGGAGGUUUCGGGGUGCUCUUCGUUGAGUGACUCGGAGCGCCGUCAGGUUUACUUUGAAAAAAUUAGAGUGCUCAAAGCAGGCUUUUCACGCUUGAAUAUUCGUGCAUGGAAUAAUGGAAUAGGAACUCGUUUCUAUUUUGUUGGUUUUCGGAAAUCGAGUUAAUGAUUAACAGGGACAAUUGGGGGCAUUAGUAUUCAGACGACAGAGGUGAAAUUCUUGGACCGUCUGAAGACUGACUACUGCGAAAGCAUUUGCCAAGAGUGUUUUCAUUAAUCAAGAACGAAAGUUAGAGGUUCGAAGGCGAUCAGAUACCGCCCUAGUUCUAACCAUAAACGAUGCCAGCUAGCGAUCUGCCGAGUUUUUUUUGUAGGCUCCGCAGGAAGCUUUCGGGAAACCAAAGCUUUUGGGUUCCGGGGGAAGUAUGGUUGCAAAGCUGAAACUUAAAGGAAUUGACGGAAGGGCACCACCAGGAGUGGAGCCUGCGGC